RNAcentral lists this ribosomal RNA (460 nucleotides) under uncultured bacterium. Its description in RNAcentral is "partial 16S ribosomal RNA". It matches the Rfam family "Bacterial small subunit ribosomal RNA", at positions 338 to 795 of the family's 1533-position model. The record is from RNAcentral.
CCUACGGGGGGCAGCAGUGAGGAAUAUUGGUCAAUGGGCGGAAGCCUGAACCAGCCAAGUAGCGUGCAGGAUGACGGCCCUACGGGUUGUAAACUGCUUUUAUACGGGAAUAACGCGCCUUACGUGUAGGGCUUUGCAUGUACCGUAUGAAUAAGGACCGGCUAAUUCCGUGCCAGCAGCCGCGGUUAUACGGAAGGUCCGGGCGUUAUCCGGAUUUUUUGGGUUUAAAGGGAGCGUUGACCGCAAGGCAAGCGUGCUGUGAAAUUUCCGGGCUCCACCCGGGCCUUGCAGCGCGAACUGGCGUGCUUGAGUCCGCGGAAAGCAGGCGGAAUUCGUGGUGUAGCGGUGAAAUGCUUAGAUAUGACGAAGAACCCCGAUUGCGAAGGCAGCUUGCUGCAGCGGAACUGACGCUGAUGCUCGAAAGCGCGGGUAUCGAACAGGAUUAGAUACCCGAGUAGUC